GAGAGUUAAAUAGUACGUGAAAUUGUUGAAAGGGAAACGAUUGAAGUCAGUCAUGCUAGUGAAAAAUCAGUUUGACGGGUUUUGAGUUCGGGAGUAGAGGCAGGGUCAAACCGUUUCUCUUUUGAACUUGGAAUUUGUUAGAUGUACUUUUUCUUUGGCAGGUCAGCGUCGAUUUCGGAGGUUGUAAAAUACUUGGGGGAAAGUAGCUCUGCUUCGGGAGAGUAUUAUAGACCCUGGGGGAUGCAGCCUGCGGGAUCGAGGAUUGCAGCAAAUGCCUUUGGCUUGUCGCCUGAUCUCUGGAUGUUACCUCGCUUUUGACAACAUUCUUGCCACUUGUGGGUACUAAUGCCCAUUAGGUUAGAGCGAUCAAAAAUUUUGCUAAGGAUGCUGACGUAAUGGCUUUAAACGA
RNAcentral lists this ribosomal RNA (409 nucleotides) under uncultured Diversispora. RNAcentral describes it as "partial 28S ribosomal RNA". Lineage: Eukaryota; Fungi; Glomeromycota; Glomeromycetes; Diversisporales; Diversisporaceae. The record is from RNAcentral.